UGGGGGUAAAAUUAAUAAAAUAAAACUAAAAAAAAAAAUUUUAAAUAAAAUAUUUUAAAGGGGGGUUAAAGUAUUUUAAAAGAAAAAAUUUUUAAUUUUAUAGUGGAAUAGUAUUGUAAAAGAAUUUUGAAAUAAAUUAAAAAUAAAUUUUUAUAAAAGUAAUUUUAAUUUAAUGUAUCUUGUGUAUCAGAGUUUAUUAAUAAAAAAUUUAAUUUAUAAAUUUUCUCGAAUUUAAAAGAGUUAAUUAAUUAUAAAAGUUAUUGUUGCAAAAAUAUUUUAAAUAAUUAAUUUGAAAUGAAAUGUUAAUCGUUUUUAAAUAUAUCUAGUUUUUUUAGAAAAAAAUUUAAUUUUAAAUUUUAAUUUAAAAUAUUUUUUAUUUUAAAAAAAUUUUUAUGUAGAAUUUAAUAAUUUAAGGGAUAAGCUUUAAAUUAAAUAUUUAUAAUUGAUUGUAAAUUUUCAAAUAAUUAAGAUUUAUAUAAUUUAAAUUGUUAAUAAAUUUUAAUUUUUUAUAAAUAAUCUUAAAUAAAAUAAAAUUUAAAAAAUAUUUAAAUUUUUAUAAAAAAAUAAAUUAAAAAUAAUUAAAUUUAAUUAUAAUGAUAAAAUUAGUAUAUAAAUAUAUGUAAAAUAAAUUAAAAAUUAUGAAAAUUAAUAAAAAGGAAUUCGGCAAAAAUUUAUAUUCACUUGUUUAUCAAAAACAUGUCUUUUUGAAAAUAAUUUAAAGUCUAAUCUGCCCACUGAUGAAAAUUAAAGGGCUGCAGUAUUUUGACUGUACAAAGGUAGCAUAAUCAUUAGUCUCUUAAUUGGUGACUUGUAUGAAAGAUUGGAUGAGAUAUAAACUGUCUCUUUAUUAUUUGUAGAAUUUAAUUUUUUAUUUAAAAAGUUAAAAUAAAUUUAAAAGACGAGAAGACCCUAUAGAGUUUUAUAGAUUUUAUAAUGUAUAAUUUUAUAUAAAUAAUUAAUUAAAAAUUGUAAUAUUUAUUUUAUUGGGGUGAUAGAAAAAUUAAAAAAACUUUUUUUAAAAAAUAACAUAGAUAAGUGAAUAAAAGAUCCAAAAAUUUUGAUUGAAAGAAAAAAUUACCUUAGGGAUAACAGCGUAAUUUUUUUUUUUAGUUCAAAUAAAAAAAAAAGUUUGCGACCUCGAUGUUGGAUUAAGAUAAAAUUUAAAUGCAAAAGUUUAAAAUUUUGAUCUGUUCGAUCAUUAAAAUCUUACAUGAUCUGAGUUCAAACCGGUGUGAGCCAGGUUGGUUUCUAUCUUUAGAUAAAUGAAAUAUUUUAGUACGAAAGGAUCAAAUAUUUAAAAUAAAUUUUAAAUUAAAUGAAUAUUAAUAAAUUAGUUGUAAA
This 1341-nucleotide ribosomal RNA is filed under the name Phthorimaea operculella (potato tuberworm). Its description in RNAcentral is "16S ribosomal RNA". The record is from RNAcentral. Lineage: Eukaryota; Metazoa; Arthropoda; Insecta; Lepidoptera; Gelechiidae.